This 404-nucleotide ribosomal RNA is filed under the name Actinomycetes bacterium. RNAcentral's name for it is "Actinobacteria bacterium partial 16S ribosomal RNA". It matches the Rfam family "Bacterial small subunit ribosomal RNA", at positions 355 to 776 of the family's 1533-position model. Lineage: Bacteria; Bacillati; Actinomycetota; Actinomycetes. The record is from RNAcentral. RNAcentral also lists the same sequence under 2 other names.
UGGGGAAUAUUGGACAAUGGGCGCAAGCCUGAUCCAGCCAUGCCGCGUGAGUGAUGAAGGCCCUAGGGUUGUAAAGCUCUUUCACCGGUGAAGAUAAUGACGGUAACCGGAGAAGAAGCCACGGCUAACUUCGUGCCAGCAGCCGCGGUAAUACGAAGGGGGCUAGCGUUGUUCGGAUUUACUGGGCGUAAAGCGCACGUAGGCGGACUUUUAAGUCAGGGGUGAAAUCCCGGGGCUCAACCCCGGAACUGCCUUUGAUACUGGAAGUCUUGAGUAUGGUAGAGGUGAGUGGAAUUCCGAGUGUAGAGGUGAAAUUCGUAGAUAUUCGGAGGAACACCAGUGGCGAAGGCGGCUCACUGGACCAUUACUGACGCUGAGGUGCGAAAGCGUGGGGAGCAAACAGG